UAUCCCUACGGGAGGCAGCAGUGGGGAAUAUUGCACAAUGGGGGAAACCCUGAUGCAGCGACGCCGCGUGAGUGAAGAAGUAAUUCGUUAUGUAAACCUCUAUCAGCAGGGAAGAAAAUGACGGUACCUGAGUAAGAAGCCCCGGCUAACUACGUGCCAGCAGCCGCGGCAAUACGUAGGGGGCAAGCGUUAUCCGGAUUUACUGGGUGUAAAGGGGGCGUAGACGGCGAUGCAAGCCAGGAGUGAACGCC
Molecule: ribosomal RNA, 251 nt
Filed under: uncultured bacterium
Lineage: Bacteria
Description: partial 16S ribosomal RNA
Rfam family: Bacterial small subunit ribosomal RNA
Source: RNAcentral